GGGGGCGAUACGGAUUCGACGGCAGUAACGAACCCUGAGGUGCAUGCCGUGAUGGCAGCCAAUCACGUAAAUCCAAAGCUGCAAACCAAUAGUUGCCAACGACGACAACUACGAGGUAGCGCUGGCCGCGUAAGCGGUCCAUCGUGACCCUCAUCUAGUGGCUUCGGCCCUAGCGGUCUUUAGCAAGGUGCCAGUACCGCGCUACUGACUGUCAUAGAGAACUGGAUCGCAGCCGGGCAUGUCCCGGGUCAGGCUGUUAAACAUAAACGGGGCUCGCCGACCACGUCCUGCCCGUCGGGCUGUGGAAGGCUAAAGCAAUAGACGGAACCUAAGCAUGUAGAGCCGAAGGCGGAGUACUGGCGGACGCGGGUUCGAUUAACACCA
This 384-nucleotide transfer-messenger RNA is filed under the name Halieaceae bacterium. It matches the Rfam family "transfer-messenger RNA". From Rfam's summary of the family: Bacterial tmRNA, also known as 10Sa RNA or SsrA, is named for its dual tRNA and mRNA-like properties. The record is from RNAcentral. Lineage: Bacteria; Pseudomonadati; Pseudomonadota; Gammaproteobacteria; Cellvibrionales; Halieaceae.